This 273-nucleotide ribosomal RNA is filed under the name uncultured bacterium. Its description in RNAcentral is "partial 16S ribosomal RNA". It matches the Rfam family "Bacterial small subunit ribosomal RNA", at positions 524 to 796 of the family's 1533-position model. The record is from RNAcentral.
UACGAAGGGAGCUAGCGUUGUUCGGAAUCACUGGGCGUAAAGCGCACGUAGGCGGAUUGCUAAGUCAGGGGUGAAAUCCCGGGGCUCAACCUCGGAACUGCCUUUGAUACUGACAAUCUCGAGUCCGGAAGAGGUGGGUGGAAUUCCUAGUGUAGAGGUGAAAUUCGUAGAUAUUAGGAAGAACACCGGUGGCGAAGGCGGCCCACUGGUCCGGUACUGACGCUGAGGUGCGAAAGCGUGGGGAGCAAACAGGAUUAGAAACCCCCGUAGUCC